GAUGAACGCUGGCGGCGUGCUUAACACAUGCAAGUCGAACGGGAAAUAUUUCAUUGAGACUUCGGUGGAUUUGAUCUAUUUCUAGUGGCGGACGGGUGAGUAACGCGUGGGUAACCUGCCUUAUACAGGGGGAUAACAGUCAGAAAUGGCUGCUAAUACCGCAUAAGCGCACAGAGCUGCAUGGCUCAGUGUGAAAAACUCCGGUGGUAUAAGAUGGACCCGCGUUGGAUUAGCUUGUUGGCGGGGUAACGGCCCACCAAGGCGACGAUCCAUAGCCGGCCUGAGAGGGUGAACGGCCACAUUGGGACUGAGACACGGCCCAGACUCCUACGGGAGGCAGCAGUGGGGAAUAUUGCACAAUGGGGGAAACCCUGAUGCAGCGACGCCGCGUGAAGGAAGAAGUAUCUCGGUAUGUAAACUUCUAUCAGCAGGGAAGAUAGUGACG
This 445-nucleotide ribosomal RNA is filed under the name uncultured bacterium. RNAcentral describes it as "bacterial SSU rRNA". It matches the Rfam family "Bacterial small subunit ribosomal RNA", at positions 28 to 456 of the family's 1533-position model. The record is from RNAcentral.